This 841-nucleotide long non-coding RNA is filed under the name Panax ginseng (ginseng). RNAcentral's name for it is "long non-coding RNA (PGIN_LNC016960)". Lineage: Eukaryota; Viridiplantae; Streptophyta; Magnoliopsida; Apiales; Araliaceae. The record is from RNAcentral.
CUGUAACUUUUCCCAACCCAAUCAAGACGGCCAAUUAACAAUGUACCAAACCUGAAAAACAAUAAAUAAGGUACAAUAUUAACAUUCAAACAAAAAAACCUUGACAUCAAAGCCCUAAAAAGGUAAAUUGAAAUUGAUUUAGGUUAGAGCCUCUGUGCAGAAAAUUGAACAGGUAAAAUCCAAACAACAUCAUAAAAAGGGAAGUAAUCUAGGAUUUUCAAGAAAUUAAAAUAAAAUUCACAACAACAAAGCAGGUAAAAGAGUAGAGGUACCAUAUGAAGAAAAAAUCAGAACCCUAAAACACAAAUUGGAAAAAGUCAAAUUCAUUAGAACCCUAAUGAGGAAUAGCUAGCACGGACUAAGGUGUAUACACAAGGAGCGAAAGAUACAGACACGAUAUAACUUACCACGAUUACGUCAAUUAAUGCAGCAAGAAAAGAAAUUUAAAGCGUUUGAACUAAUGUAACAUGCAAAACUAUUAUAAUUAAUAGUUAUAGAGCUGAAAUUUUACCUUAUUCAGAAUAAUGAAACCCUAAAUGAAGCUUUAGAGGUAGAAAAAGACGAACUUUGAACCAACAGCGGUCGUACUGUUGACAAAACCCUUUCUACGUCCUGAAUUUCAUCUCAAUACAAUACAUAUCCGCUUCAAUUUCUCCCAAGCGCAUGAAAUUCUCUCACUCUCUUCAUAAAAACCCCCGCUUUGUCUUCUUUGUGGCCUUUUCUGAACCAGGGAGGGUAACGUUUCUUUUUUCUUCUUCUUCUUCUUCUUCUUCUUCUUCAAUGCUCAGCUCCGUCUUUUUCCCUUUCUUUUUUUUUUAAUUUUUUAAUUUUUUAAUUUUUU